Molecule: long non-coding RNA, 2106 nt
Filed under: Gossypium barbadense (sea-island cotton)
Lineage: Eukaryota; Viridiplantae; Streptophyta; Magnoliopsida; Malvales; Malvaceae
Description: long non-coding RNA (GBAR_LNC019723)
Source: RNAcentral
ACCAACAAUAGAACUUAAUGACUGUAACAAGUUGAUAAAAGGUAGUUGUAGGGAAUUUUGCAAAAAUAUUAUUGCUUUUUAAAAAGUUCCGAUGAAACAUUAGAAGUUUGACUAUAGAAUUCAGAACUUUGGACCUACAAUUAAACAUAAACAUAUAGAUAGCUUGGUUAGAAGAAAAAAAAUCAUAUUACACUGAUUGGAAAAUCCAACUCAUCAUUGCUUUUCUGUUUAUCAAAGGCUGAAAAUAUCAAAUUUUAUUCGUAAUUUACAACAAAGUAGUUAUAUACAUAUGACUCAAAUUCAUAUCUUGCCCAAAUUCAUAGAUUAAAACACAAAAAGAAAAUAGAAAUUCUUACUCAUAUCAAACAUCCUAUUCAAUCAAUAACAAGCUGUCAAAUUCCAAAAUGUUUAAUAUCUUAAAAAAAUCAUAUUUCUGUUCAUCCUAAUUAACUAUUUAGAAAAAAUGGAAUACAUGAAAGACCUCUAAGUACCAGUAUCAGUAUCUUCACCCCUAAACCCCAAAGCCAGACUACACAAAUUGCAUCUAACAGCUUCUAGUUUCUCUGAUCUGCACUCAGCAUGAAAUUCAAUAUUCUUAACAUUAUAAAUUGUUUUGAACAUUCGUUAUCAUCUAACAUUUUCAUCUUACCUAUUUUUGCUACUUUCAGAGGACCAAAUUACAACAGAACAAACAAACAAAAGAACUCGAACUGCAGAAAUCUUACCUAUUUUUGCUACUUUCAGAGGACCAAAAGAACUCAAUGAUCUUACCUAUUUUUGCUACUCAGUUCAGGCACUUAAACAAACAAACAUUGGAAGAAAUCUCAUUUGCGGUUUUGGAGAUUAGAAAAGGACUCGAAAAUUACAACAGAACAAACAGAAAUCGAAGAUUAGCAGAGAAGAGAGAAAAACUUCGAACGGCAUGCUUUUCUUAAGCCUAACCAACAACAGAAAACACAUUUCAAUUCAACAUGCAAUACAAACAGAAUAAAAUUGGCUAAAACUAACCUAUUAGCAAAUCGGGGCACAAUGAAGAAGAACCUGAAAAAAGCAAAAAGGGAAACCGAUUAGAUAAAAACAAUAGAUCAUAUUUACCUCGAAAGUAUUGGUUUUCAUCUACAAUAGCAAAGUAUAUUAAUCUAUCGGGAAACAUAGACUAACCGAUGACGCAAAUCGGCAGAAACUGUGAGCAAAUCGACCGAAAUAGAAAAGAAAAUAAUCGGGGGAGCAAAUCGGCAGAAAAGGGAAGAAAAUAAAUACUGGGAAAAAGCAAUGAAACAAGGAAGCAAUUCGGAUGAAGGUGGGAAACGGAAGAGAAACAGAGGGGAUCGAUUAGGGGUAAAAGAGGGAAGGUUUAGGGUAAGGUCAUCUAAUCUGGAAAGAAGGGGAAUAGAAAUCGGUGCUUUUCACCGAUUAGGGAAGUAAGGGGAUACACGCGUAUUAGCAAUACGCUCAACCAAACGGCGUCUUAGAUUGGUAUUAGGUGGGCCCCACCGAUUAGGGGUGUAUUGGCUAAGCCAAUACACCAAACCAAACAAGCUCUAACAGUCGGCAGCAGAUCGACGCCACCAUUGUCCCACGUCGCAGCAACUAUCUCCAUGCACGAACGCACAGCAACUGCCCACGUCGCGCACGCCUCUUCCAAUACCCACCUACAACAAAAUCAAAUCACGAACCACAUCACAACGGAUUUUUUUUUAUUGUUGUUUUGGGGUAUUAAAAAGGGAUUUGUAAAACCGAUUUGGGGGUAGGAAAUUUGUAUUACAAAAAACCCAUCGAAAAUACAAAGACAAAAAAGCAAAAAUUUUGUAUGAAAAUUAACAGGAAAAUAAACGAAAAAACAUUUUUGAAGGUGGGAUUUUGUCUUCUUUCUCAGUUCUUUUACUGUUGUUUUUUAAUUUACCUUGUUCUUUUCUUUUGCUUCUUUUUUUAAAAAAAAAACAACAAAGAUAAACGAAAAAGGAGAAAGAAAGGAGGACUUACCGUCGUGAGAGUCGUCGGAGGGCGUCCUCGCUUCGUCGAAGUCUGAAACGGCAGAGGGGGGGCUGAGUCUGCUGUUGUGUUUUCAAACAAAAAGAAAACUGACGUAGUUUUGUUUUAAAACAA